GAUGAACGCUAGCUACAGGCUUAACACAUGCAAGUCGAGGGGAAACGGCAUCGAAAGCUUGCUUUUGAUGGGCGUCGACCGACGCACGGGUGAGUAACGCGUAUCCAACCUGCCCAUCACUUGGGAAUAACCUUGCGAAAGUAAGACUAAUGCCCAAUGACAUUCCACGAAGGCAUCCGACUGGGAUUAAAAAUUUAUCGGUGAUGGAUGGGGUUGCGUCUGAUUAGCUUGUUGGCGGGGUGACGGCCCACCAAGGCAACGAUCAGUAGGGGUUCUGAGAGGGAGGGCCCCCACAGUGGAACUGAGACACGGUCCAAACUCAUACGGGAGGCAGGAGUGGGGUAUAUUGGUAAAUGGGCGAGAGCCUGAACCAGCCAAGUAGCGUGCAGUAUGACGGCCCUAUGGGUUGUAAACUGCUUUUAUAAGGGAAUAAAGUGGGUCACGUGUGACUGUUUGAAUGUACCUUAUGAAUAAGGACCGGCUAAUUCCGUG
RNAcentral lists this ribosomal RNA (492 nucleotides) under uncultured bacterium. Its description in RNAcentral is "partial 16S ribosomal RNA". It matches the Rfam family "Bacterial small subunit ribosomal RNA", at positions 28 to 507 of the family's 1533-position model. The record is from RNAcentral.